UUUUGUGUUUUAGCGGCGUUUUUUUGGGGAAAAUCGGAAUUCGGAAAAUCGGAAAACAAAUGCGCGCCGAAAAUUGUGCGACCAAUUGACGAGAUCGCGUACCACAGUGUGUGUUUUAGCUUUCCAAAUCGGAGCUUCGAACGGUGAGUGCUACGGGCGGGAGGUAUAUUUUUGAAAAUUGAAGUGCAAAAGCGGCGGCGGCCAAGAAGGCAAGGUGCAAAAGCCAUUAAUAAAAAAAUAAGAAAAAAAAAAGAAAAAUAGAAUCGUGGAAUAAAUGAGCGAAAGGAGGAGAGCGUUUACAACAAAAUACACACCGACGGACGACACGUAAAAAUAAGGAGACGCCGCCGCGCAGUGAAAAAAAAAGGAAUUUUUUUUGUGUACUACAAAGCGGCGCUGGUCUGGUUCCCUCCUCCUUGUUGUUGUUGUUGUCGUGCAUGUUGCCUUUGUUUAUGCUAGUUUGAGUGAGUGUGUUGUUACUGUUGUUGUUGUUGUUGUUAGCUUUACUAGCCGUUCUGUGAUUGUGAUUGGAAAACAGAAACGAAAAAUGAAAAAAAAUAGAAGAAAAUAGAAAAGAAAGCAGGAAAACAGAGUAGGAGAAAAAGAAACGAAAGUAAAAAAAACAACGAGAGUGCUGAAGGAAAAUUGCUAAAAAGUGAAAAGUUUAAUUUACUAAACAAGCGGGAGUAGCCCCCCCUCCACCCAACACCCCCACACUUCCUCACCCACACAAUCACACGAAUAGGACAGCGGCUGGCGGCGGCUUGAGUGUGUGUGUGUGUGUGUGUCUCUCUAUUUUUUGCAAUUUCUGCUGCACACGCUCAUUCGUGUUGGAUUAUUGGAUUAUACCGCCAUAACGGCACACGCACCAAACAACAACAACAAAAGUGAUGGCGGCGUUAAAACAACAACAAAAACGAUAAAGGAGAGCAGACGACGUUGGAUUAAUCAUUAAUGUCCUUCGAGAUAAGGAAAGUGACACAAGCGAAGAGGAAGCAGCAUCGUCCAGGAUCCUAAUAAGAAGAAGAAUUAGACAAAGAUGUAAGUGCUCGAAGAUAUGCCACCCACAUCCACCUGAAGGCUAACUAUUUUCUUUAAUUAAUUUAUUAACCAUAAAAUAAUUGAAUUAAAUUUAAUUGUCACAACCUUACUUUUUCGUGUUAUUUUAUCGGUAAUUACCUUUUGUUUUCUUAUUCCAAAAAUGUAAUUAGUUUAUAGAUAGAUUUUAAUUCAAUUAUUUCUGCGCUAGAUGCCCGAGAGAUGCAAUUAAAUUGAAGAGACUCUAGAAGAGUAAUAGCUCAAAGAUAUUUUAACCCAUUUACCAUGAAUGGCCAUAAAUAAUUGACUGAUUGCUGUUGAAAUUGAAUGAGAUGUGUCGCCUUGCAAAAAAAUGUGUAAAAAGAAAUGCAUUUGAUGUGUGCGCCAUGCCGUGCUCUAAAUCACAAACACAUAAGCCAAAAUUUAAUUAAAAUCCACUCAAAGCUGCAUCCGGAUUAUAGUGUGUGUCUAUCUGACUCUUCUCUAUUAUUUCCAUUGAUUUAUUUUUGAACAUUUUCAUUAAGUUUUUUGUGAAGAAAAACUUACUGGGUGUUCCCACUCGAAUAAACAUAAUCCCCAUGAUUUAUGGAUCUGGGCACAGAGAAUAAACACUCGCCAAGUGCUGGAGACUUUGUGCAAACUAUUAGCAACGAGAACGAGUGCCGAUAUUGAUAUAUGUAUUAGCAGGCAGCUAGUAUGUACAAUACAUGUUUAUUAUUAGCUGGCCUUUGGAGCAGCAGCAGCAGCAGCCGCAGAUGAGGGGGAGUGGUCCGUACCGGCCUGCAAUCAUAAUAAAUGUUCAUUGAAACCUUUUAAAAAUCGCGCUGUUGCAGCCACCACCACCGAUGCCGCUGCAAUGAAGCACUACAACAAUAAAUUUUAGCCACGGAUCGGGCCAGGGCAACCAGCCAGGUACCAACCAGGGACCAGCCAACCAACCAACCAACCAGCACAUAAACAUUAAUAAACUUGUUGCAAUCCAAAAGAUAAUUAGCCGUGGCUAGAGCUGCAGCCAACACCACACCAAGCCAAGCCGCCACACACAUCACAUAAAAUAAACCUCAAAGACAAGAGCAGCAACAAUUUGCUAUUUAGUAUAAAGUUUCAUUAAAAACCCACUACGACUGGCCGGGCCAUGGCCAUGCAUGGGAGUUGAGUGUGUAUCUUAAAGAUACACAUAGACCCUAAGAGAGUCUCCACUCCCCACUCCACACUGCAUCGCCUGCCUGCUGUCGAUCAUAAUUUAACAUAAAAAUGAUUUGAUUACUAUAAUUUCUUUUGUGUUUUGGUAUCACCUGGUAAGCUCAUUUACUACAACGGCAACGCCGCCUAUUACUCACACCGGUCCGGUCCGGUUCGGGGCCGGUCUGGUGCUGUCUCAAGAUCCCCUGGUCCGUCUUUGGCCAGAGUAUCCCCGCCAUGGACCUCACCGCAUGCAGCGUGUGUCGUUUUGUAUAUAUUUGUGGCUCGAACAGAACCCCAGGAAAAAAAUUAAGCUCAAAGAUGAACACGGCACAUGAAGAAAAGGGCAACGGGAAACGAAAUGAAACUGCGGGAAGGCAUCCCAGCACCCCAGAGUACCAUCCUUACACUGAUGAAAAUUUUUUAGAAACUGUCUUUAAAUCAGGUAGAUUUUAUAAUAAAAGUUUCUUAAAAUAGGAAGAGGUUUUAGGAGCAAGAAAAUGAAACAUUAUAUUAGGUUUUUCAAUCAGAAUAGCUAUAUAAGAUAUAAUAAUAUCUAGUAUCUCUAUGAAUAUCAUAGAUCCUAACAUAUAGAAACACCUGAGUAUUUUAUAACUUAUUAUAGAAGAUAUAACUUAUAGUUAGGGAUAAGAAUUCCUCAAUAUUACCUCAUCUAAUAUCUCAUCCAGUUAUACUUCUAUUUCAAAACUAUCCAAGUAUUAUAGAUCCUUACUUAUGGAAGUGUCUGACUCUUAUAGAACUUAUAGCAGAAGAAAUGAUUUGUAUAAUAUCUAGUCUAGUAAUAGUUGUUUUUUUUUUAAACUAUUUGAGUAUUAUGGAACAUUUUAUACAAGAAAUAUUUGAUAUUAGGAGCUAGAAUUUUUAUUUAUUAUGGUAUUUUAGAUAGAAAAGAUUAUUACAAUAGGAUACAAUAGACAAAGAUCUCUUUUCAAUAUUAUCUAUAUAAUAUAUCGAUAAAUAAUACCUCUUUAGAUUUUUAGCCCUUUUUCAAUGCCCUCCCUAUAACAUUUUCAAUACCCCCCCAUUAAUUUCCCUCAGUGCAUCACGAAAACUUGCUGCAGGCCAGCGAGGAGUCAAAGUCAGAAGACUGACAAACCCGUUCCGGUGCCGGUGCCCUGCAACAGCUCUCAACCUCAGUCUUCUCAGUCUCUCCCAACCAAAAACUUCAGUUUCUUCAAAAGAAGUCCAAGACCAAGAGACUCAGAGGAGGAAGACCAAGACCAAGACGGAGACGGAGACUUGGAGGCAAUAAUAGCAGCGACUUAAGAGCCACGGAGUAGUAUACUUCAUCGGGUGGUGGUACAAAUAUCUUGUUUCAUGUGUGCGCUGGACGUUAAUAGCAGGCCGUACCAUUGUCCAAAAGCCAGUCCCUGCCUCAUACUCCUAUCCCCCCUCUCUCUGAUAUCUGUAUAUGUUUUUGUUACCUGUCCCCUCCCCUCCUUACCUGACUCUGCCGCUUGCAUCUUCGCUGAGCGCCGCUUCUUGUGGCACAGUCUCCCUGCUGCAUUUCAUCAUUCAUGCGCAUUAUUUUAGAUUUGGGGAAGUCGGUUCUAGACUCUAGAGGUACUCUACAGUAAGGGUUUCUUAUAUUUGGAAGAAUUUAAAAAGAAAAGGAAUAGUAUUCUUCCAAAAUUAGUCUUGAAAAGUUUAUAAAAUCUAAUACUAUUCUAGUUAGUAGACACUACCUCCUUCUUAGGCUUAGUCCUCUGACUCUAGCUCCUUAAAGAACAUAUUUUUUUAAACCUGUAGAGCAUCUGCUAUUCGUCCUUUGAGGAACCAAACAACUUCCUUCAUUUUUUCUGCUGCAGUUCCAGCGUUUUGUGAGCUUCGGUAGGUAUCCUCUUCUGGCCCGGCUGCGUAUCGCAUUGGCCGAGUCUUAGAAGCGGAGAUUGAGUUACAUUGCUGGGGAUUAUUAUCAACUGUAUUAUCUUUUCUUCUCCUCUUUUCUUCUGGCGGCAACUGCUUUUGGCCAGAAACUGACUUCAAAAAAAAAAAAAAAAGCCAAAUAAAAAUUCGUUACGCCGCUGCAGCAUUUAUUCAAGUGGCGGUUGGUUGAAGAGUUGGGGAUUGAGGAGAUUCGUGGGUUUUGGUUUCGGGGUUUUCAUUCUUUUCUUUUCUUCUGUGUUUUUUUUCUGUGUUUUUUAGGGUUUUGCGCUUUUUUAAUGAUACCCUCUCAAGUAUUUUCUCUUUUUUUUGUGUGGUUCAAGUGCCUUUUUGGCCGUAAUUUGUUGUUUGUCCGUCCGGACUCCGGACAUGCAUGUUUCAUAAGUUUUGGGGCCAACAAUUGUGUAAAAUUAUGAGCUGUCCAUAUUUGCCAUUUGGCAUGGUUCCAGGGCAUCAGACAGAGCCAGAGCCACAACGUAUAGCCAUGUCGGGGUCUUUUGUUGCAUUUUUGUGGCCAUAAAACAAACUGGAGUAGGUGUUGUCGUUAAGUUUUGAUGUGCCACAUUAUACUAGACUCCCUGAGCAGUCUGCGACUGAGGCGGAGGCCACCCCAUUGUGCAGUUUAUGAUUGCAGAUGAAUGAAGCUACUAAAAGCGAGGAAGCCCACUGCGCUCUAAUGGGAAAUCAGAUUUUGGCCUAUUGGCAUAAAACCGAAGAGACUUGCUCUAGUUUUUAUUGAUUUUUUGGUAGAGACGACACUUUCACACACAGAGGAAACAUUAAAAUACUCCUAUUGGGUCUUCGGAUUGAAUAAAAGUCAAUGCCAUGCCGUCGAGGGAGUUGGAACUUUGAGGAAAUUAAAUCAGUGUUGGCAUUCAUGCGGAGGAAGUUUAUAAAUUGAAUUAUUGCUGAGUUUAUUUAUUCCAUUUAUGAUGUCUAAUCGAUUGCCUAAGAGACAUAAAAUGGUUAAUUAAUCCACAAUAAAAUGAAAGAGAUUCAAGAGUAUCGAUUACCAUUCUCUAGUCUCUGAAUUCUUUUUAUUGUCGGCCAUCCGAACCAAACUAUGUAUGUAGGUCACAUUACAGUUGGCAAAUGUCUGCGGUAGAGUUUUAAAUCAUAUUUAAAGAAUACGGCAAUAGAUGCCCCAACCACUAAGCCACAUUUUAUAUGCCACAACGGAAAGCUCUCUCGUAAGAGUUCCAUUGCACCACACUAAUAGUGGUAGUGGUGGUGGUUCAAGAUGGAAGCCAAAGCGGCAAAUGUUCCAGGAAACUAUAAAAGACAAUAGCGGCAAUAUGCCAGCUCUGGUUUUUGUGGUUUUUUAUGCUCGGACUCUAGACGCUAGCCCAUAGACUGGAGGAGCGAAAAGAAGCCUUUCUGGCUGCCUCUUGGCGUGGGCCUAAGUCAACAAAAAAAAAAAGCCUCAAUGCCUUUUGUUAUAUCAUAUUCCCGUAUAGUGCGCUGAAGCCCAGGCUCUUCAUAAAGGGGGAGGUUGUGUGGUAGCCGAGUUGUGUGUGCUCACGCAUUAAUAUAGUUUCCAAGAUCCAACUUCCAAGCCAAGACUACACAGAGAGAAGGCUUUAGAGACUACUUUUUAGAGGAAGCUAAAGCUAUUUCCAGUCUGCUCUUUAUUUUUCUUAGUGUUUUGUUUUUCUCAUCUGCACAAAUAUAGAUAUAGAUGUGUGUGAAAAUAGUUUAUGACAGGGUCGGGCUGGCUGGGGUGGCAAAUAAUGUUGUUUAUGUGCAGAACCGAACCGUAAAUAUAUGACGCACCUUGUGGUAAGACUGUGGCUGCAAGUGGUGCUGGUCAAGUGGUCGGUCAGAGUAACCCAUUCCAACUGCUCCCAUUCCCAUUCCCAGUUCCAUUGUGGUGUCGUCGCCAGAAUCGAAGAAGACUGGCGGCCUGGGUUUCUGUUACUGGUCAAGUGUUGCAGUUGCUUCCUGCCUUUCGGCCUGACACUCACCUGGUCUGGCUUGGACUUUCUAGCCAGCUUCUGCUUCUGGCAUUCAAUGGCCAAUUCUCCACGCAGCCUCAUCCUUGUUCUUGCUCUUGUAUUAUAUUUUCUUGGCAUUGGGUUGGCAUUCGCAUGGUUUGACUUGGCCCCUUCCCAUGACACCGGUUAAGAUGCAGUCUCAACCUCAGUCUCAGUCUCAGCUUCAACUUCAGCUGCUUUGUGCUUAUUUGGUUACUUUAUGCCAGUCUAUGUGCCUCUGCCUCUGCCACCGUCACCGCCUCCUCCGACUUCCUUCGAUAAUAAAGAUGACAAAAUAUCUAGAAAAAAUCAUAAACCUUGUGUGUAUGUUUGGAAAAUAAUAUCUUGCAGAUAUAAAGUACCAUUUAUGUCGUGCUUAUAUCUUAUUUCGCCAAAGUCGUGCCAUCGCAAAAGUCGCUAUUCGCUAUUUGCUAGUUGCUAGUCGAGAGUUGCGAGUCCCGCGAAUCGGGAAUCGCAUUCUAGCCAAGAAGUCCAAGAAGAUGUGGAAAAAAGUCCAGAAACCAAGUCCCAAUCGCGUAGCUGGAUGCGGCAUUUCGGUUCGCUUUUGGAGAACUGCUGCUGCGUUGGGAGAUUGCUUUGGUGGAGCGGAGGCUGCGUGGGCUACAGUGGUUUAACUAACGAGAUUUUGUAGAUAGAAAUUAAUAAUUAAAAGAGUUAAAGUAAAUACAUAAUAGUGGAAUACUAUAAUGUAUAAUAGUAAUAUAAUAAUAGUAAUAGUGAGGAAUAUAGGCUUUACUGGGGUGGAGGUUAUUUUUCAUCGAAAUUUACCAUUAAUUGAGAAACUAUGAUCAGUAAAAUUAAAAUUAUAGUUUUAGUUAGACUAUAGUUUAGUUAGACUAUUAAAUUAUUGAACCGAGGUGAUAAAAUACAACUAAAAAAUACCUUUAUAUGCUUUUAGGCACAAGACAGAAUUAUAAUAUCAGAAUAAUACAGUUUUGAAACCCUUUUAGCGAUGAAAACUGUUGCAAUGAUACGUAUUAUUUCCGUAAUAUUCGAUAUAUCUUCUUUAUUUAUACCAAAAUUGAGAUUUAAAUGCUAAAUUGUUAUAAAAUAUGUGUGUCAUAAUCCUACUUCCGUUAAUUGUAACUUAAAGCGCUAAAAUAAUCUCCAAAAUUAUAGAUUCAAUUCAAUUGUAUUUCCAUAACUUUUCUCAAAUACUUUUGUAAAAAAAAGCUUAUACUCAUUAGAAUCCAUAAUGUAAUAACUUUAAUAGAAUAGAAUAGAAAUAAACCAACAAUAAAGAUCAUCAAAGAGAACACUCUAAAGAUCUUCAAUAUUUUUAAGCACUUUUGAAUCCCUCUUAGCCCACUGUCCCCUGGACUUGUCUGGAGCUCUGCCGCACUUCUUCACAUGACGGCGACAGGCAAUUGGCCCAAUGCAGCGCCAGCGACGCCAAAGCCAUGGCCACGUUGUCAUUUUGGUCAAGACGGAGUAGGACCAUACCCGGAGAGAGAAGAAGUAGUACCAGAGGGGGCCCAGGAUAGAUGGCCGAGGAGGAGAGUGAGAGGAAUAUGUGGCAGCUUCUAUUGGGAAGUCUUUGUGCGCGGCCAAGACUAUUUUUUUUUUUGUUGUUGGCCAGUGUUGGCCAUAUUCCUUCUCAGUGGUAUAUGUGCUUUCAUUACGGGCUUAGUUCACGUCACAAUCAGUUGUUGGCAUCGUUUAUGCCGCAUUGCCACACAGAUACACACACACACAUACUGGCUUGGCUAGUUGGCUGCUGUGGCAGCUUCUUCAGCAAAUGUCUUUCAACUUAUCUCAUACACACACACAUGCACACACACACAUACAUAGUGUGGCAGGAUGAGGAGGCUCUUUUUCGCAAUUUGCAUGCAACCCCAGCACCACCCACCUUACCCCCUCAUGCCACUCGGCCGGAACGUGCAUGUAAUUUAUGCGUUUAGAUAACACUUUGCUAAUUUUGAAUGGCAUAAAUUUUUUUGCAACUGCCUCCUUGCCUCCUGCCUCCUUUAUUAGAAGAAGAAGAUGGAGUAGUGGCCCAGUCCUGCGGAUCGUGCCUGUAAUUGUGUGUGCGUGUCUCUUGUUUAUUUUUUUUUAUUUUUAUUUUUUUGCAUGCCACACUUAUGAUGAUGUAUUGAUUGUUCGAGGUGUCAGAUUUUUGUUGUGGCAAGAAGGCUCUGCCUCUGCUUCUUCCAACUCUUGCCGUAAUUAAAGGAAAUAUUUGAGAUAUGCCAAGAUAAUAGUGCUGGAAUGCUGUUGGAUUAAUUAAUUGAAAAUGAGUUGUGGAGGAAACAGCCUCCACCUCUGAGGGGCACCUCUGAUCUGGUUGGCUUAUUUGGUUUGGUGACUGUUGCUGGCCUGGGCCAGUCGUCUUGCCGCUUUUGUUGCGUCUGUUGGCCAUGUCGCCCGUUUGCUUAUCAGUGGCAGCAUUGACUUUUUAUGGCCAUGAGCGAGAGGAGCGACCGACUGGUCUCUGGACUGGAGUCUCUGUGAUUAAUAAGGAUUUUCAAGUCGUUAGCCGGCAAUCGUCUCGGGUCCAGUCCCCCUCCAGUCCAUUCAUCGCGUUUUUUUUAUGGACACGUUCUCCGCAGGGGGACGUCUCAGAGAGACGAGGCAGGCAAAUUACCGAUUUCAACAAUGUCGCUCAAGUGGCUUAAGUUAACUUUGGCUUUGACAAAGGCUCAGGUUCAGGCUCAGACCCAGGAAGGAGGAAGGAAAAAAUCCAGCAGUUGAUGCUUGAAUAAUGAUGUGAUAACCGUAGGCAUGAAAUGGCCCAAGACAGUGUCCACAAGUUUGGAAGGAAAUACAAUUACUGGCCAAGACUGAGCCAAGACAAUGGGCUGGAGAGCUAUUUUUAAGGGGAAAUAUUAGAAAAAGAAAGCUAGAAAAAAUGUUAGUACUUGUAGUCACUGUCCAACCCCCAAAGCCAUCCCGUCACAGCUGCAGUUUCUGCGAAAAAGUUGCCGCUUAAAGUUUUCAAAUUAUUCCAAGUAGGGCAGAGCAGAGGAUUAUGCCUCGUCCCAGGCUCUGGCGCCUUGGAUUAGACUCGAAUUAAAUUGGAAUUAAAUUUUCCAGUUUAAAGCGCGACAGAGUGAACUGAAACGAAUUAAGCAGCCGUCUAGGAAUUGAAAUAAGCAAUUGAAUGGCUGGAAUCACAACCAAAUUGCUUAGCAGAGAGUUAAAUAUUAGACAGUUGCUUCGAUUUAUUGGCCAAAAAAACACAUUAAUUGCUUCAUAAAUUAUAAUAAUGGCAUAAAUUCAAAUUCAAUUCAUAAAUAAAGGAGUGGAGACCAACAAUAUUUGCAUAAUUAAUUUUUAUUUUAAUUAUAAUUUUUGCGCUUUUGGUGAAAAACUGAAAUGUAAACAAUUAUUAGCCAGCAAUAGUAAAUAUUAAACAUGUUUAAUAUUUCAAAACCCUGUUUAAACUUGGCCAACAAAUCAACAUAAAUUAAUCAACUCAUAUCGCCAUAAAAAUGUCUCUUAAAUUAAUUUUCAUCUACAUAUAUUCCCUGUUUACCUUUUCCAUAAAAAAUGAAGAUGGGAAAAAUCCAAAAAUACAUAUAUUUUUUUGGGGCUUAUGCUAAUGAAUGGGCAUCUCACUCCCUGGAUGACAAAAACUUUUGGCCACAAAUUCUGACGGGCUAAUGGAAUGUGUGGACUUUCAGCUGUCACUUGGCUCUUGGCUCUUGCUAAUUAAAAAAUUCAAUACUAGAAAUAAAUGUCAGAAAUCGGACCACGAAAGAAAGUUGAGCAAACAAACAUAAAUAAUCAAAACUGCACGGCAGAGAUCUUCUUCUCAAAGUCCCCCACAGAGUUCCCACAGGUUUUUAUGUUGAAGUCUAGCCUCUAGUGAGAUGCUGUAAUCAUAUGCAAGUGUUGUGGCAUUAGAGGCCGUAAAAUUCAAUCAAAUUUCAUAGCAUUCAUGGCAUUAGCAACUCCCAGAACUUUGCCGACAAACAGAUGCUCGUAGAUAGACAGUUAUGUGUGGCAGAGUCAGUAGAGUCAGCAGAGUCUUAAUUAUAUAUCAAAUAUAUCGCCUUGCUGAUUGAUCUCAAGCUGCUUCAGAGGUAUGGCAGUCUCCCCUCCGAGUCAGGCCAUAAAAUCAACAUAAAUCUGAGUUAUAAAAAGUCAUGUUCGGCUGCACUUAAUUAGCGGCCGACCUCUACUGAAUGAGUGUCAUGCCCAUAUGUCCUCUUCUAUUUAGGAGAGAUGCCAUCUUCUCCGAAAAAGGAGCCUCUUCUGAACCAUAAUUCAAACAAUUUGCUGAUGCGUGUGCCACGGGGUGUUGAGCCCAAAAUGUCAGCAAUAUAUAUCACUCCACUCUUCUUCAGAUUCAGAGCUACAUAAAUCCAGAACAUAUUCCCACUGUCGCCUCGUGCAACAAAAAUUAAAUGGUGUGAACGAAAUUUUAUGCCGAAUCAUGCGUGGAAAAUGAUGAAGAUGCUGGAUGCCGGGGUAGUAGUGUCUUGCUUGAAAUAUAUUCUCUUGGCCCAUUUCAUUUGUUUAUGGUUUUUUGAAGACUACCCCCAGUGUGCAGUGGAAGAAAUUACAAUCAACUAGAUGGAGUUAUAUACCAAAAGAGGACUUGCCAUAAUCAACUUUCUUUGAAGAGUGUAUGACUGCGUGGAGGGCCUUGUUAGAUGAAGAUGCACUCACACUCGGGCCAUGAUAACUGGGCCCGAAAUUAAGUUGAAAACAAUUUAAAUUUGUUAGAAGCCGCCGGCAACGAGGCUCUUGCUCUUGGAUGGAAACACUUUCAGCCACAACAGCCAUAGCACCGGGGACAUCAAAUGGGCCAAAUGGGGCGACUGGGGCAGCCAGAGGAUGGUGGUCCAGAGAGAUGUUGACGGCAAACGACAGCCGAGAGACUCUUGGAAACUUCACUUAUAUUUCUAUUUGGUUUCUUUUUCUUUUUGGCUGCACUUUUAUGAGUAAUUUCAUGUUGUGCGAGUCUUAGUUGAUGUUUUACUUUUUUUUUGGGGAAUUUUAUGGACUAGUAGAGCUCUUCAGGGAAGGUGUUGAUAGUGGAGGGAGGCACCUACCACUAGGCUACCAAGAAGGCAGUUUUAUUUUACGAUUUUGUUUACGUUUAACAAAUGCCAACAAAGUAUCUUUAAGGAUUACUACUUGUAGAUACAUUUCAGUCUUCUGUCAAUCAAGAUCUAGUCUCUUCCCUCUUUGGAUCAUUGCAACUUUAUUUCAAGCGUAGCAUCUCAAGAUUCUCAGAUUUCUCGGCUGUUUUGGCAGCUUCUGGAGUUCCAUCCACCCCGAAAACACUCGACCUCUUGGACGACAAUUAAGUGAUUCAUUAAAAAUGACAGACUCGGAAUUCAAUUGAGAGUUAGAGUCGAGUCUGAAGUCCUCUUUUCUAGUUUCAAGUUGAAGUUCCGAAUAGAAACCCCAAAAAAAAUAGUGGAGGAAGUGCGCCCUCCACAAACACACAUCGCUUUGGAAGAUAAUGGAAUAAAAGAAAGUUGUUGAUGUUGCCGACAAUAUGAGAAUGACUACCGUUUCAGAAUCCUACCGUCUGGCCUGUCCUGGCCUGGCCGUACGUGCCCAAGUAUUCGAAAAACUCAUUUAAAUCCGAUGGACAAGAGGUCUGAGAACUGGAGAAAUAGUGAAAAUCAAAUGCAAACGACAAACGACCAGGGCUGACGCUGACAUUUGAUGCCGAAUUCUCGAGUGGGCCGGUCCUCCGACCAUCCGUAGAGGCAGUGGCAGCCAAAACACUUGAGAAAUUGCCGCCGCUGUCGUUUAAAAGAUGAUGGCAUGAGAUACACGACGAGUGCGAAUGUGAAGUUCCCUCGAAAUGCACUGAGAGAAAUACUAAAAGUAAUAUAACUCUAAACCCUUACUAUGCUAACAUUUGGCAAGCGACUUUUUUGAACAGUACUGUAGACCAGAGGCUGGUCGAGUCGUAAAUAUGAAACACAAACAAAACACCACCAGGUCCAGACCAGAGACCCCAGUCCGAUUCCGAGGCCGUGGCAUUAGUAUACGGAAGCCGAAAACAAAAAAAAAUUACAAUCUCAACAGUUUGGCAGACAGACGAUGAUGACAGCCAGAGAUGCAGUGGCGUCUGGGGGUCCAAGGGGUUCCAAGCAGGCCAUAAACUGGCGACUAUGAAGAUAUAUUAGGCAAAUAGAUGGAUGGAUGACUACAGGCCGCCAUCUCCAUCUCCAACGCGUCUGUCUUUCUUUUUUUCCAGCCGAAGAGAAACAAUUUUCGACAACGUUUUGGCAAAAAUGCAAAUGGAGUUUGACAGAAAGCCGCCGCCGCCAAGUUCUCUGAGGAAAAUAAUAAUAAAAGAUGCAAUGAUGGACAAAAUUAUGGCUAGGAAGGCCUUCUAGAGAUGUAGAUAUUUAUAAAAAGGAUUUCUAUUCUUCCUUUGAGCAAAUACUAUAAUAUUUCGACAUCCCUAUUGCGAGUUAUGACGAAACUGAUGAACAUUAGAAGAGAGUUUUUCUUCUAGCUACCUGACAUAUAGACACACACACUCUUAUAGAGACUCUUGGCCGGGUCUCGAAUUACACGGCCAUGAAUAGGUUGGACGGGGAAACAAAAAAUUUAUUACAAAAGAUAGACAAAAGAUGCGAAAUAUGUGCCCCUGACUGCCACCACCACUACUACUCUGAUGGCUUCUGAAGUUUUUCGAUGACGAUGACGAUGAGUAUGGGAAUGUUGGCAUCUGCUGGUUUUCUACACUGCUGCGGAAAAGUUAACGCACGCAGUAUAGUAUGUGCAAAAAAAUAAAAAAAAUGUCUGCCUGUCCAGAGCCAGGCUAGCCGCAUAAAUACUCUCCGGGGAGUUGUUAGUUUCGUGGGGAUUUCUCGUGAGGCAUGCCUCAAAAUAUGCGAAGCCUUCAGGGCAUCAUCGGGUCAUACCUUCCCCUACACUCUUAACAAUGAUUUAUAUACUUUUUUCUUUAUUUUUCUAUAAGAAAAUAUUUAUUAAAUUUGUAUUUAAAAUUUAUCAGAAUUAUUUAAAGUGGUUGGAAGCCACCCAUGUGGCUUGUGAAGCACGUGUAUCGUGUAUGGCUCUGCUGCAACAUGUAUUUAUGUAUGAUUGUUAAAUGGAAAGCAUAAACAAGCACGGCCCAAGCCCUCUGUAGCUGCAACAAAGGGCAUCUCACUGAAAUAUGCUGCAAAACUGCGAAUUGCAAACUGCAAACUGCAAAACGAAACGAAACGAAACCAAACGAAACGCACUGUGAGCAACAAUUUAUGACCAACAUUCAGCAACAACGCAACUGAAAAACUACAAAAAAAAAAACUAAAAAAAAAAGAAGGAAAAAAUACAAGCUGAAUUGUUUGCGGCAGCAUAAAAAGUAGCCAAACAGAAGGGGCGGUUGAGGCGGGGCAGCAGCAACUUGGUUGCUGGAUGCGGUCGCUAGCUGCAUUUCUUUGCAUAAAUUGCAACAUUUUGUGGCACUGAGACUUGAAGUUGCUAGUGCUGGUGCUGUGCGCUUAGGCAAUUUGUCAUUGGUACUAGCUCUUCGGUAUAAAGAUAUCUCAGAUACAAAUGUAUCUCAGCGUGUGAUGGAAAGGCUAUGAACAGGUUGCUGGCUUUUAAAGCCGGCUUUUAAGCCUUAAAGCUCUGAAAGACAAGCUAGAUGCCAGAAAUAAAUGAAAUAUUAUAGUUUAUAUUAUAUAUUUUAAGCCACCUGCUCUUAUUUUGACUUAAUUGAUUAUUUUUUCUUGUGGGAAACCCCCUUAGUAUAAAAUAGAAAACUAUUUCCACACGCCCCGGCAAUUGAGGAGAAAGAAGUAAGACAUAAAUAUGCUCCUGCCACACUGAGAUUACCCCAUAGCCCCCGAAAUGCAUUUACGGCAACUCAACUGAUGCAAAUCUAAUACUCACACACAGAUACUCACACACAGAUACUCACAGAGAGACAGCCAGGAGUGCUAGUGUGAGUGAGUGGCGGGGCCCAGUGCAAAAUAUAAACCUCUCAAGUGCAAAAACCAUUCAAAAACUAAGCUAAAUUUAUUUAAGGAACACCAAACAGCGACGACGGCGAUGCCGACGAGUGCGAGUGCAGUCUGCACAUUUUUUUUUUCCACAACAUCCCGCCGUUCUUCUGCACUUUUCACUUGGCAGGAAUAAAAAAUAGGAACUGAGAGGAAAAGCCAACGCAAAUGCGAGCAAAGCCCGAACCGAAACUGAACUAAACUCUGCUGGCGUCAAAGGAGGAAAAUAGAAAAGCUCCAAACUUUUAUUUUUGAAUGAUAACGACUGUUUGAUUUACCUAUCCAGGAGGGAGUUAGCCAGAUAUUAUCCUAAAAUAAUGAUAUAGGGGGGCUUGAAGUUCUAAUAACAUUUAAUUGCCUAUCUUAAUUCGUAUAAGAGUGAUCUAGAGAUCUUAUAGACCUCAUAGUAGCCUCCUUAAGGUUUCCUGGGUUUAAAUAUAUAAAAUAAAAUAGUGAUAUGUUGCUUCUAAAAGGCAUUAAAAUAUUUUUGUUGCCUAUCUUAAGGCGUAUAAGAGUGUUGAAGUGAUCUUACAGACCUCUCAUUAGUCUUUCCAGGGGUAAGGGGUUUGAAUAGCUUUUCUAAAAAAAAAAUAUCAGGGUUAUAAAAGGCCUAAUAUUAUUGUGUUUCUUAUCUUGGCCCUUGUGAGAGUUAUUCAGAACCAUCUUAUAGAGAUAUAAGAUAAACCUACAAACAUCUUGAAGUCCUAUUAUAAUUUUUUCAUUGCCUAUCUUAAGGCUUAAUCCAGAGGAAGGUGAUCCAGAACGUAUAGAAUUCAUAGUGACUUUCCUAAGGGUAGGCGGUUUGAAUAGGUAUUAAAAAAUAAUGGUAUAUGGGUUCUUAAAGGACUAAGAGGCAAGAAGUGCUCCUAAACACCCCUUAGUAGCCUUUUUAAGAAUAAGAAGCUUUAGUAUAUAUCCUAAUAUAACGAAAUACAUAUUUAUGUGUUCUAAAAGGCCUAUCUUAAGGCUUCUGAUACUGGUCCAGAACCAUCCUAUAGACCUCAUAGUACCCCUUCUAAAGGGUAUCAAAUAAAAGUGGUAGGAAAACGCAAAUAGAGGCAGCGGAGCGGAGUUGAGCUGCCGGCAAAUGUCGUCAGCAAAGAGCAAGGACUAGAGAGCUAGGGGGGAAAAGUCGAGGGAAAAGCUGUAGUGGAGGUGAUGGUGGUGCACCUGGUGGUCCUAGCAAGGGUGGUGGUGGUCCUAGCGUUGGUGUAGGUGUAGCUGAAUGUGAAUUGCAGGAAUGAAUUUCAGGUGGCGGCUGAAAAACACUCGGGAAAAUACGUCCCAGGCUCUCUCUCUCUACCUUUCUGGCGAGGUCCUGUGCCACGGAUAACGGAUGCGUGUGGUGUUUGGUAGUAGUAGUGUUGUGGCAUGAAUGUGUGUGUGGAUCUGGCAUGGUGUUGGAGGCACAGCGACGUGUGCAUGCAAGGUGCUCGUAUAAUGCGUUGUGCGUGUUAAAAGAUAGUUUCGCCCGGCUCAACCCGGCGGAUCCAAAAUCCGGCGGCACUAGCUCCGCUCCGGUAGCAGCCCAGCAGAAUGGUAGAAAAAUGGUAGUGGGAAAACCCAACCAACCAACCGCCACUAGCCCAGCGACAGCGACAGGUAGUUUAACACAUUGGAAAAUCCCAAACGCCGUGACACGACUCGUUGUUGCUUUUGUCGCUUUUUUGGGGUUACUGCUACUGCUGCUCCUGUGCGGCGGCUACUGGAUGUGGAGUGGAGUGUGGCUAUAGCUGGGAGACUGCGAAGGAGUGCUGGAGUGUAGACUCCCUAAUGUAAUAGGUCUGGGGAUCAAGGCAGUCCUUUGUCUGCUUGCCGCGUUUUGUGGCAGAGGGUCUAGUAGUAGUUUUUGUCUAAAACUUUCAAAAAGGUUUAAUUUGUUUUAUUAAAUUAUUAUAUUUUAUUUUUAGAUUCUACUGUUCUUCUAUUCUCUUGGCAAUUAAUAUUUUUUCCUUAUUUUUCCCUUGUUGAACAAACGUGAGCAAUCCGAUAACUCUUAGGUAUUAUUUUCUUAUUUUUUUUUGUUGUCUAUGUUGCGCGUGCUUCUUGCCCCAUGUUGCCAGGCAGGCUCUUAAGCCCAGCCAGAGUGCCCCUGCCACCAGGCCAUUCCCAUUCCCAGCAUCGUCAUGUCGUCUUUCUGGCAGAGACUCCUCCCCAUCCCUUUUGUGACCUUCGAUGUUCAAUGUUGGAUGUUCGGGCUGCUGGGAGCUCUCGGGUUCUUCGGGUUCUCCGGGUCUCUGGUUCUCCGGUUCCUAGACAAAUAUUAUUGUUUCCAACACCCCGUUAUUGCAUAUUUGCCUUAAAUAUACGUGUAUAUAUUUUUUCAAAGUGUGAAUGAAAUUAAUGCGUUGCACGGUCCCGUGUCUCUCUCAUCGGCCAAAUGGAGAAGGAAUUUUUCCCUUCUAUUUUUUUUCUCCAAUUUCUUUCCCAUUUUUUUUCCCAUACAAUUUUUGAAAUGUUUUGUUUUGUUUCUAUUGUUUGUUCUCUGUCCAAUAGCCCUUCCCCUCGAAUACCUUUUUCUAUUUUCACAGAGACUAGGGAGUAAGGGACUAGGGACUAUGGACUAUGGACUAUGGACUGAGGACUAAACGUUAUUAAAUGCAGGCAAAUGCCUCGUCCAAUGGCAUUUGUAGUGUUGUCUUAGUCGCUGUCGUCGUUGUGUUUUUUUUUUUUCCAGUAGUAGUCGCAUAAAGGCCAGAAUAUAUAUAUACAUGAAAUAUUUUCCCACUCUUCCCACUACCCAUUUUUUGCGGCAGCAUUGAGUGUUUAUUUUUUUGUGUUGCCUACAUUUUUGGGUGGGUGGCCAGCGUUGGCAGCAAAUAGUUGCUAAAAUAAGUGGUGCUACCAUGGAAAAGGACUUUAAAUACCAAAACUACAAAUUCUUAAUUAUUUUAAGCAACAAAAGUCCUUAAAACCAAAACACUUUCCCAAAACAAUCUCCAAUGAUAGUCAAUACAGAGUCCUGGUCAAUUGCUUCCAUUAAUUGGCCCAAUUUAUAUGAAAUUCUCUCACUCACUCAGUUGCAACUUCCUGGCUGCAAACUUUAAGACUAUUUUCCACAAAAAAACACACAAAAAACUAGAAACUUUUUCCCACCAAAAAGUAUAAGAAAAUGGUUGUGUUUGUGGCUCACAACUUUUUCCUUUCCACAAUUAGCCUUAACUGAUUUAUGUUCUUAAAGGGACUUUACUUAGAUCUCCCUUUUCUAUAGACUAUAUAUCUAUAUGUCUAUAUAUCUAUGGCAACCUGCGGCCAGUUGGGCCAGUAAUCCCACUGAAUAGGCACAAACACCUGUUCGUUCCAUGCAUCAUUGGGCAUUUGGUUCCUCCCAGUUCUUUCCCAACUUUAUGCCUAUAGGUGCUGAGUAAUGUCAUUGGCCACUGUUUUCAACACCUGUUACCGGCUGGCAGGGCCCACUGUACCUGGCUCUGGCUCUGGCCUCCUGCCUCCUCCUCCUCCCACUCUAAUGCUAAUGCUAAGUAGCUUUAAGGCUGCCGCAUCGCUUGGUCGUUAAGCGGCUGUGGGGGCGUUUUUUGUGGAGGGCGUGGCUACACACACAAAGGCACAAAAAAAAAAUACAAAAAAACGAAAAAAAGGCCGCCCUAAAUGCU
RNA transcript from Drosophila ananassae, 17658 nucleotides. RefSeq lists it as uncharacterized. The transcript has 2 exons. The record is from RefSeq and is a predicted model, not a curated record. NCBI's taxonomy places the organism in Eukaryota, Metazoa, Arthropoda, Insecta, Diptera, Drosophilidae.